UUGAUCAAGAGCGAAAGUUAAGGGCUCGAAGAUGAUCAGAUACCGUCGUAGUCUUAACUAUAAACGAUACAAACCAGGGAUAGGACUCUGUCCAUCCCGACUCUUCCCGGACCUAAGAGAAAUCACGAGUAUCUGGGUUCCGGGGGGAGUAUGGUUGCAAGGCUGAAACUUAAAGGAAUUGACGGAAGGGCACACAAAGAGUGGAACCUGCGGCUUAGUCUCGACUGGGCCGCAGAAGCAGGCCGCAAGGUCAUGCUAGUCCAAGGUCGGGCCCCUCGGGGCCCGCCUCGGGCGACACUGUCAAAUUGCGGGGACACCCUAAAGCUCAGCACUACCAACCACGCGUGGAAACACGGAAAAAUACCGGGCGUUAAGACCUCUUUAAGCGGGGGAGUCGCGGUCGUGGGGCCCGGGGGUAACGCCCCGGGGUAUGGUGAAAACGUGCGCGAGAUAACUGGUUCAAUCCACRUGGGUAAUCCGCAGCCAAGUCCUACGCCCCUCGGGGCUCGAAAGCCGAUCGCAAGCCCCCUCCAAGGAGGGGGCGAGCGUGAUGGCGAGUAGAGAGUCCCCCGAGGGCACGGAUGCAGUCCACAGACUAAACGGCAGUGGGCGGGUGCUGAUCUGUCUGGUCGCACCCCCGCCUAAGAUAUAGUCGGUCCUCCCGGGAUAACCGGGGCCCCCUUUCGACGAGGGUGCAGAGCACCCGAAGUUAGGGGGGGGUGCAUCGUCCCAGCACAAGCUCGCUUGUGCCGGGCCGGUGUGCUCGAG
Molecule: ribosomal RNA, 768 nt
Filed under: Physarum pezizoideum
Lineage: Eukaryota; Evosea; Eumycetozoa; Physariida; Physaraceae
Description: partial small subunit ribosomal RNA
Source: RNAcentral